Bos indicus x Bos taurus (hybrid cattle) is the source of this 1312-nucleotide long non-coding RNA. The record is from Ensembl. Lineage: Eukaryota; Metazoa; Chordata; Mammalia; Artiodactyla; Bovidae.
AUGGACUACAGCAGCCAGGCCUCCCUCUCCAUCACCAACUCCCGGAGCUUAUUCAAACUCAUGUCCAUUGAGUCAGUGAUGCCAUCCAGCCAUCUCAUCCUCUGUCGUCCCCUUCUCCUCCUGCCUUCAGUCUUUCCCAGCAUCAGGGUCUUUUCCAAUGAGUUGGCUCUUCGAAUCAGGUGGCCAAAGUAUUGGAGCUUCAGCUUCAGCGACAGCCCUUCCCAUGAAUAUCCAGGGCUGAUUGCCUUUAGGAUGGACUGGCUGGAUCAAAAGCAGUCAGUUCUUCAGCGCUGCUGGAGCAAAGUGCCAUAGAUUUCCCGAGAAAUCUGUAUGCAGCUCAAAAAGCAACAGUUAGAAAUGAGCAUGGAACAACGGACUGGUUCCAAAUUGGGAAAGGAGUACAUCAAGGCUGUAUAUUGUCACCUUGCUGAUUUAACUUAUAUGCAGAGUACAUCAUGCAAAUUCCAGACUGGAUGAAGCACACCUGGAAUCAAGAUUGCCAGGAGAAAUAUCAAUAACCUCAGAUAUGCAGAUGACACCACCCUUAUGGCAGAAAGUGAAGAGGAACUAAAGAGCCUCUUGAUGAAAGUGAAAGAGGGGAGUGAAAAAGUUGGCUUAAAACUCAACAUUCAAAAAAACUUAGAUCAUGGCAUCUGGUCCCAUCAUUUCAUGGCAAAUAGAUGGGGAAACAAUGGAAAUAGUAAGAGACUUUAUUUUCUUGGGCUCCCAAAUCACUGCAGAUGGUAACUGCAGCCAUGAAAUUAAAAUAUGCUUGCUCCUUGGAAGAAAGGCUAUGACCAACCUAGACAACGUAUUAAAAAGCAGAGACAUUACUUUGCCAACAAAAGUCCGUCUAGUCAAAGCUAUGGUGUUUCCAGUAGUCAUGUUUGGAUGUGAUAGUUGGACCAUAAAGAAAGCUGAGCACUGAAGAAUUGAUGCUUUUGAACUGUGGUGGUGGAGCAGAUUCUUGACAGUCCCUUGGACUGCAAGGAGAUCAAACCAGUCCAUCCUAAAGGAAAUCAGUCCUGAAUAUUCAUUGGAAGGACUGAUGCUGAAGUUGAAACUCCGAUACUUUGGCCACCUGAUGCAAAGAACUAACUCAUUCCCUGAUGCUGGGAAAGAUUGAAGGCAGGAGGAGAAGGGAAUGACAGAGGAUGAGAUGGUUGGAUGGCAUCACCGACUCGAUGGACAUGAGUUUGAGCAAGCUCUGGGAGUUGGUGAUGGACAGGGAGGCCUGGCGUGCUGCAAUCCAUGGGGUCGCAAAGAGUGGGAUACGAUUGAGCAACUGAACUGAACUGAUUGACUGGGUGGA